RNAcentral lists this ribosomal RNA (484 nucleotides) under uncultured bacterium. Its description in RNAcentral is "partial 16S ribosomal RNA". It matches the Rfam family "Bacterial small subunit ribosomal RNA", at positions 29 to 507 of the family's 1533-position model. The record is from RNAcentral.
AUUGAACGCUGGCGGCAUGCUUUACACAUGCAAGUCGAACGGCAGCGCGGGCUUCGGCCUGGCGGCGAGUGGCGAACGGGUGAGUAAUGCAUCGGAACGUGCCCAGUAGUGGGGGAUAGCCCGGCGAAAGCCGGAUUAAUACCGCAUACGACCUGAGGGUGAAAGCGGGGGACCGAAAGGCCUCGCGCUAUUGGAGCAGCCGAUGUCGGAUUAGCUAGUUGGUGGGGUAAAGGCUUACCAAGGCGACGAUCCGUAGCUGGUCUGAGAGGACGACCAGCCACACUGGGACUGAGACACGGCCCAGACUCCUACGGGAGGCAGCAGUGGGGAAUUUUGGACAAUGGGGGCAACCCUGAUCCAGCCAUGCCGCGUGCGGGAAGAAGGCCUUCGGGUUGUAAAACGCUUUUGUUCGGGAAGAAAUCCUCUGGGCUAAUACCCCGGGGGGAUGACGGUACCGGAAGAAUAAGCACCGGCUAACUACGUG